This 62-nucleotide transfer RNA is filed under the name Phyllidia ocellata. RNAcentral's name for it is "tRNA-Ser". Lineage: Eukaryota; Metazoa; Mollusca; Gastropoda; Nudibranchia; Phyllidiidae. The record is from RNAcentral.
AAACAUUUUGUUACUAUAAAGGUUUUGAAAGCCUUUGGAGGAAAACGAUUUUCCAACAUUUA